GGUAUUCAGAGCUAAGGUUCUUGCUUGGUGUGUCAAACAUUUUCUUCUUGAUUGGCCGUGAGUCAAUAGCCUAUUUCCUACAACCCAAAAACAAAAACCAAAAACAAAAAGUGUCAAAAAUUUUCUUUCUAGCCGUGAGUCAAUAGUCUUUAGUCUUUCUUACAUUCCAAAAACAAAGUAUCAAAGUGUCUUCCUUGUUAAAACCGUGAGUCCUUAUUGCUUGCCAAAAACAAAACCAAAAAGUG
This 245-nucleotide long non-coding RNA is filed under the name Lupinus angustifolius (narrow-leaved blue lupine). RNAcentral's name for it is "long non-coding RNA (LANG_LNC002567)". Lineage: Eukaryota; Viridiplantae; Streptophyta; Magnoliopsida; Fabales; Fabaceae. The record is from RNAcentral.